GAUGAACGCUGGCGGCGUGCCUAAUACAUGCAAGUCGAGCGAACAGACGAGGAGCUUGCUCCUCUGACGUUAGCGGCGGACGGGUGAGUAACACGUGGAUAACCUACCUAUAAGACUGGGAUAACUUCAGGAAACCGGAGCUAAUACCGGAUAACAUGUUGAACCGCAUGGUUCAACAGUGAAAGACGGUCUUGCUGUCACUUAUAGAUGGAUCCGCGCCGCAUUAGCUAGUUGGUAAGGUAACGGCUUACCAAGGCAACGAUGCGUAGCCGACCUGAGAGGGUGAUCGGCCACACUGGAACUGAGACACGGUCCAGACUCCUACGGGAGGCAGCAGUAGGGAAUCUUCCGCAAUGGGCGAAAGCCUGACGGAGCAACGCCGCGUGAGUGAAGAAGGUCUUCGGAUCGUAAAACUCUGUUAUUAGGGAAGAACAAAUGUGUAAGUAACUAUGCACGUCUUGACGGUACCUAAUCAGAAAGCCACGGCUAACUACGU
This 496-nucleotide ribosomal RNA is filed under the name uncultured bacterium. RNAcentral's name for it is "partial 16S ribosomal RNA". It matches the Rfam family "Bacterial small subunit ribosomal RNA", at positions 28 to 506 of the family's 1533-position model. The record is from RNAcentral.